This 523-nucleotide ribosomal RNA is filed under the name Melampsora ribesii-purpureae. RNAcentral's name for it is "partial 28S ribosomal RNA". It matches the Rfam family "Eukaryotic large subunit ribosomal RNA", at positions 82 to 598 of the family's 3401-position model. Lineage: Eukaryota; Fungi; Basidiomycota; Pucciniomycetes; Pucciniales; Melampsoraceae. The record is from RNAcentral. RNAcentral also lists the same sequence under 1 other name.
AGUAACGGCGAGUGAACAGGGAGAAGCCCAAAUUUGUAAUCUGGCACUUUUUACAAGUGUCCGAGUUGUAAUUUGUAGAACUGUUAUCCGUGCUGGACCAUGUACAAGUCUGUUGAAAAGCAGCAUCGUUGAAGGUGAAAAUCCUGUAAAUGAUAUGGACUACCAGUACUUUUGUGAUACGGUUUCUAAGAGUCGAGUUGUUUGGGAAUGCAGCUCAAAGUGGGUGGUAAAUUCCAUCUAAGGCUAAAUAUAAGUGAGAGACCGAUAGCAAACAAGUACCGUGAGGGAAAGAUGAAAAGAACUUUGAAAAUAGAGUUAACAGUACGUGAAAUUGCUGAAAGGGAAACGUUUGAAGUUAGUUUUGUAUUCGUUGGAUCAGCUUCGCAAGGAGUGUAUUCUGAUGAUAAGCAAGUCAACAUCAGUCUAUGAGUGUUGGAGAAGGGUUUUGAGAAUGUAGCAAUUUAAUUGUGUUAUAGCUUGAGACUUGGAUACGAUGCUUUGGAUUGAGGAACGCGUAGUAAGC